Molecule: ribosomal RNA, 1001 nt
Filed under: uncultured bacterium
Lineage: Bacteria
Description: bacterial SSU rRNA
Rfam family: Bacterial small subunit ribosomal RNA
Source: RNAcentral
GGGGAAUAUUGCACAAUGGGGGAAACCCUGAUGCAGCGACGCCGCGUGAGCGAAGAAGUAUUUCGGUAUGUAAAGCUCUAUCAGCAGGGAAGAUAAUGACGGUACCUGACUAAGAAGCUCCGGCUAAAUACGUGCCAGCAGCCGCGGUAAUACGUAUGGAGCAAGCGUUAUCCGGAUUUACUGGGUGUAAAGGGAGCGUAGACGGUUUGGCAAGUCUGAUGUGAAAUUUCAGGGCUUAACCCUGAACCUGCAUUGGAAACUGUCGAACUAGAGUGUCGGAGAGGUGAGUGGAAUUCCUAGUGUAGCGGUGAAAUGCGUAGAUAUUAGGAGGAACACCAGUGGCGAAGGCGGCUCACUGGACGAUAACUGACGCUGAGGCUCGAAAGUGUGGGGAGCAAACAGGAUUAGAUACCCUGGUAGUCCACACUGUAAACGAUGAUAACUAGGUGUGGGGGGUCUGACCCCUUCCGUGCCGCAGCUAACGCAAUAAGUUAUCCACCUGGGGAGUACGACCGCAAGGUUGAAACUCAAAGGAAUUGACGGGGACCCGCACAAGCAGUGGAUUAUGUGGUUUAAUUCGAAGCAACGCGAAGAACCUUACCAGUCCUUGACAUCCAACUGACCGACCAGUAACGUGGUCUUCUCUUCGGAGCAGUUGAGACAGGUGGUGCAUGGUUGUCGUCAGCUCGUGUCGUGAGAUGUUGGGUUAAGUCCCGCAACGAGCGCAACCCCUAUCCUUAGUAGCCAGCAGUAAGAUGGGAACUCUGGGGAGACUGCCGGGGAUAACCCGGAGGAAGGUGGGGACGACGUCAAAUCAUCAUGCCCCUUAUGGGCUGGGCUACACACGUGCUACAAUGGUGCUAACAGAGUGAGGCGAGACUGUGAAGUUAAGCAAAUCACAAAAAUGGCAUCUCAGUUCGGAUUGUAGUCUGCAACUCGACUACAUGAAGCUGGAAUCGCUAGUAAUCGCAGAUCAGAAUGCUGCGGUGAAUACGUUCCCG